RNAcentral lists this ribosomal RNA (594 nucleotides) under Leptarma gazi. Its description in RNAcentral is "Parasesarma gazi partial 28S ribosomal RNA". Lineage: Eukaryota; Metazoa; Arthropoda; Malacostraca; Decapoda; Sesarmidae. The record is from RNAcentral.
CGCCGCGACCCGUUGCUGGGGACGUCGAAGGCCCGGGCGGACUGGUACCCCGACGUCGUGCGUUCGCGCCGACGAAGGGGGAAACCCCCGGUGUCCUGGCAGCCCUGCGACGGUCGAGCAGCAGAGGGGCAACACGCCUCCCUCUCGCGGCGUGCAAAAGGUCGGUGACCCACCCGACCCGUCUUGAAACACGGACCAAGGAGUCUAACAUGUGUGCGAGUCAUUGGGCGCACUAAACCCAGAGGCGUAAUGAAAGUGAAAGGGGGGCGUCCCGGGGUCUUCGGGCCUCGGUCGGCGCCCUCCGGGGCCGAUCCCCGACCGCCUGCUGCCGUCUCUGUUUCCCAUACCAAAGCGAGGUCAAGGGGGCGCGCGGGAUGAGUCCCUUUCUCCCGCGCCACCUCCGGCUUCGUGGGUGCAGGGCGCGCGCGACGGUCCGGCUCCUUCACGGGAGUCGCUUGUACGCAGGGGGGCGCAGGCCCGGGACUUGCCAUUCGACGCCGUCGCGCAAAUCUGUUGUUGGCCUCGCCGGCUUUGCUUGGGCUCUCGGUUGGCGCGCCGCGCGUCAGGCGGGCUUUGGGUGGGGGUUUCGGCUCU